RNAcentral lists this ribosomal RNA (253 nucleotides) under uncultured bacterium. Its description in RNAcentral is "partial 16S ribosomal RNA". It matches the Rfam family "Bacterial small subunit ribosomal RNA", at positions 524 to 776 of the family's 1533-position model. The record is from RNAcentral.
UACGAAGGGGGCUAGCGUUGUUCGGAAUUACUGGGCGUAAAGCGCACGUAGGCGGAUCGAUCAGUCAGGGGUGAAAUCCCAGAGCUCAACUCUGGAACUGCCUUUGAUACUGUCGAUCUAGAGUAUGGAAGAGGUGAGUGGAAUUCCGAGUGUAGAGGUGAAAUUCGUAGAUAUUCGGAGGAACACCAGUGGCAAAGGCGGCUCACUGGUCCAUUACUGACGCUGAGGUGCGGAAGCGUGGGGAGCAAACAGG